Molecule: ribosomal RNA, 252 nt
Filed under: uncultured bacterium
Lineage: Bacteria
Description: partial 16S ribosomal RNA
Rfam family: Bacterial small subunit ribosomal RNA
Source: RNAcentral
UACGUAGGGGGCAAGCGUUGUCCGGAAUUAUUGGGCGUAAAGAGCGCGUAGGCGGUCCGAUAAGUCGGCUGUGAAAGUCAGGGGCUCAACCCUUGAAAGCCGGCCGAUACUGUCGGACUAGAGUCCGGAAGAGGCAAGUGGAAUUCCCGGUGUAGCGGUGAAAUGCGCAGAUAUCGGGAGGAACACCAAUGGCGAAGGCAGCUUGCUGGGACGGUACUGACGCUGAGGCGCGAAAGCGUGGGAGCAAACAGG